Cyprinus carpio carpio is the source of this 2454-nucleotide long non-coding RNA. The record is from Ensembl. Lineage: Eukaryota; Metazoa; Chordata; Actinopteri; Cypriniformes; Cyprinidae.
GAUUUUUUUUGGGCGGAGCUAAAACGGUGGCUCGAUGACGCACUGGAGCCACUGAGCUCCUGGCCCCUCCCCAAACAACAUAACUAGAGCACACAUUCGCAUCAGUUCGCCGCUCAAUCGCGAGUUUCUGUGGACUACCAUCGUUUAAAUACCUUGACCGGAGCAUAACUGGUUAACUUCACACAAGAGACCUACUGUUGGACAAUUGGUUUUGGCUUUAAAGGAGAAAGUCAUCGCUCUGUAAUUGGCCCUUGGACUCCCCUGGCAUCUCGUGUAAAGCAUGAAGUUUUCAGCUAUGAAGGUAUAUUUUAGGCCUAUGUCUUAGUGUCCAGUGUUUUAAAAGUAUUGAAAAUAGUGCCUUUAGGUGUUGUUGUUUUGUUUUUUAAUGUAGAUUUCCAGAGACUCAAGAAUUAAAAACAAGCCGUGAUGGAUGAGAACCAAGCCCUUAGGGAGGAGAACCAAGCUCUGAGGGAAAGCACUGCACGAGCAGCUUCGGAUGACAGCGGCUCACUUCAAGAGCAGGUGAAGCAAGUUGGGACAAUGUUGAAGACGUUUGCUCGCACUGGGCAAUCAGGUGCAGAUCAGACCUUAAUGCUGCGACGUCUUGGAGAGUUUGGCGAUGUUGUGCGAAGCAUGGACAACAAAAUGGACACUAUGCUGCAACAUUUCAGUGCCAAUGUGUCUGUUGGAGAGUUAUCCCUGCCAGGGGAUCUGUUACUCCCCCUAGACACCCAGGAAGAUUUGGCGUUGCUUGACAACAGUUUGAGGCAGGAUAAAGAGCUCCAGGAACGAUUUCUUCGGUUUUUUUGGCAAUCAAAUGUGGGAGGGACCUAUAAGACAACCGUCUGGCGGAUGCUUCAAAGUACCUUCUCUAAUCACCUUUCCAUCAAUACAACCUGGACUGGAGUUGGGGAUAAAGCAUGUUUUAGAGACAUGUUCCUGAAGACCAUUGUUCAAAGUAAGUUGGAUGUAAUGUUUAGUAGAUGUGUAUGGCAUUAUGCCAUUCAAAUGGAAUGACAGAUCUGUAUUUUUCUACAGGAGCCAUCCGGAAGAACCCGGCAACACAGGAUGCCACUGAUGAAGCCGUCCCAGGUUAACGUUACGCGUUACCUGAAAGGAGCAUCUGACCGUGAAGGCGGAAAAAGGUGCCGCACAGCUGAGAGGGACCCACAGCAGACCCCUUAAACCUAGGCUGACUACUGACACCCCAGCAUCACUGACAACUGGAACCCUUUCUUUAUCCUGCAGUCAGUAACAUCAAGACCCCUAAAGAAGCCAGAAGUGUCAGACUGCACUCCCCAAUCCACACUGUUCACUGUGGAUAUUAUCAUAGUGCUUAACUCUUAUUAUAUUGUUAAAUAUAGCUUGUAAAUCCUUGUGCCACAGGUCAGCAUUGCAGUUAUAUCUGUUCUACUACUUUUUUUACCUCAGUAUUUUUUAUAUAUAUGUGAAGAUGUUUAUCACAGAUACAAGAGACAUCUUGUACCCCAGGUCAGCAAUGCCAAUAUAAUGGUCUAUUCUACUCCAGAGCUUUAUUCUAAAUUAUUACCACUUAUCUUAUUGUUAGAAAUGGCUUGUAAAUGUGAUGUUAUACCUGAAUUUUUUUUGGUGUCCUGCACAUUCUUUGGUACCAGAUAUACUCAUUACUUAUGUUUACUGGUAAUUCUUUUCAUCCCAGAGCUGACCUCUUUAUAUUAUUAACAAUUAUUGUAAGUGUUAUAAUUUGCUUGUAAGCUAAGGCUGUUUUUUUUUUUAACAAUUUAAUUGGAAACCUGCAUGUUCUUUUGUGUGUGUGUGUGUGUAUAUUUUUUUUCUCUUUUUUUCUGUUAUUUAUAUUUCAGGGAUCUGACAUCAUGUUUCAAUGACAGUUACUGUACUUUGAAAUGUGGAAUUAAAACGUCAAAUGGAAAUUUGUCUGGUUUGAUCAAUCAUUAUUCUUGAUAAACUGCAUUAUAUAUAUAUUUAUAUAUAUUUAUAUAUAUAUAUAUAUAUAUAUAUAUAUAUAUAUAUAUAUAUAUAAGCGGCGACCGAUCGCUCGAAAAUAGCGUUUGCCUCCGACGGGCCGCGGAAGGGUCGCCUUUGAUAUAACGGCGGUUGGCCCGCGGGCCGGCCGCGGAACGAAGGCGGUAGGAAGGCGGCUGCCGCUUCUAAAAAGCGGCUGCCGCCGGCGGUGCACCGUCAAACGUGUUUGCGAUUACGCCAUUCUGACGCUUCUACUGCCGCCGGAGCGCCGCCGGUGGUCCGCCGACUCAUUGCUAUCUGGGUGAUUGCCUAAACCGGUGUUGUGUAAUAUUCGGUUCCUGUGAAAAACUGUUCCCGUGGGUGGGGUUUACAUGACUAUUAAUUAGUUAUCUUGUUGUGGGCGUGUCCUUGAAACAACGCAAACGAAUGGAACUGAAAAUAUCAGUGCACGCUCCUCAAAUCGCUGCUUGUUUAAUGGAUUAUUUUGAACAG